GACGAACGCUGGCGGCGUGCUUAACACAUGCAAGUCGAACGGAAAGGCCCUGCUUUUGUGGGGUGCUCGAGUGGCGAACGGGUGAGUAACACGUGAGUAACCUGCCCUUGACUUUGGGAUAACUUCAGGAAACUGGGGCUAUUACCGGAUAGGAGCUCCUGCUGCAUGGUGGGGGUGGGAAAGUUUCGGCGGUUGGGGAUGGACUCGCGGCUUAUCAGCUUGUUGGUGGGGUAGUGGCUUACCAAGGCUUUGACGGGUAGCCGGCCUGAGAGGGGGACCGGCCACAUUGGGACUGAGAUACGGCCCAGACUCCAACGGGAGGCAGCAGUGGGGAAUAUUGCACAAUGGGCGGAAGCCUGAUGCAGCAACGCCGCGUGCGGGAUGACGGCCUUCGGGUUGUAAACCGCUUUCGCCUGUGACGAAGCGUGAGUGACGGUAAUGGGUAAAGAAGCACCGGCUAACUACGUG
Molecule: ribosomal RNA, 468 nt
Filed under: uncultured bacterium
Lineage: Bacteria
Description: partial 16S ribosomal RNA
Rfam family: Bacterial small subunit ribosomal RNA
Source: RNAcentral